RNAcentral lists this transfer RNA (72 nucleotides) under Salinifilum ghardaiensis. Its description in RNAcentral is "tRNA-Ala". It matches the Rfam family "tRNA". From Rfam's summary of the family: Transfer RNA (tRNA) molecules are approximately 80 nucleotides in length. RNAcentral also lists the same sequence under 1 other name. The record is from RNAcentral. Lineage: Bacteria; Bacillati; Actinomycetota; Actinomycetes; Pseudonocardiales; Pseudonocardiaceae.
GGGGCUGUGGCGCAGUGGUAGCGCAUCUGACUGGCAGUCAGAGGGUCAGGGGUUCGAAUCCCCUCAGCUCCA